GACGAACGCUGGCGGCGUGCUUAACACAUGCAAGUCGAACGGAAAGGCCCUGCUUUUGUGGGGUGCUCGAGUGGCGAACGGGUGAGUAACACGUGAGUAACCUGCCCUUGACUUUGGGAUAACUUCAGGAAACUGGGGCUAAUACCGGAUAGGAGCUCCUGCUGCAUGGUGGGGGUUGGAAAGUUUCGGCGGUUGGGGAUGGACUCGCGGCUUAUCAGCUUGUUGGUGGGGUAGUGGCUUACCAAGGCUUUGACGGGUAGCCGGCCUGAGAGGGCGACCGGCCACAUUGGGACUGAGAUACGGCUCAGACUCCUACGGGAGGCAGCAGUGGGGAAUAUUGCACAAUGGGCGGAAGCCUGAUGCAGCAACGCCGCGUGCGGGAUGACGGCCUUCGGGUUGUAAACCGCUUUCGCCUGUGACGAAGCGUGAGUGACGGUAAUGGGUAAAGAAGCACCGGCUAACUACGUG
RNAcentral lists this ribosomal RNA (468 nucleotides) under uncultured bacterium. Its description in RNAcentral is "partial 16S ribosomal RNA". It matches the Rfam family "Bacterial small subunit ribosomal RNA", at positions 28 to 507 of the family's 1533-position model. The record is from RNAcentral.